GACGAAGGUGGCGAGCGUUGUUCGGAAUCACUGGGCAUAAAGCGCACGUAGGCGGCGACGUAAGUUGGGUGUGAAAUCCCUCGGCCCAACCGAGGAACUGCGCCCAGUACUGCGUUGCUUGAGGAUCCAAGGGGUGCAUGGAAUUCCCGGUGGAGCGGUGAAAUGCGUUGAUAUCGGGAGGAACGCCGGCGGCGAAAGCGGUGCACUGGUGGAUUACUGACGCUGAGGUGCGAAAGCCAGGGGAGCAAACGGG
This 253-nucleotide ribosomal RNA is filed under the name uncultured bacterium. RNAcentral describes it as "partial 16S ribosomal RNA". It matches the Rfam family "Bacterial small subunit ribosomal RNA", at positions 524 to 776 of the family's 1533-position model. The record is from RNAcentral.